Oncorhynchus keta (chum salmon) is the source of this 1382-nucleotide long non-coding RNA. RefSeq lists it as uncharacterized. The transcript has 3 exons. The record is from RefSeq and is a predicted model, not a curated record. NCBI's taxonomy places the organism in Eukaryota, Metazoa, Chordata, Actinopteri, Salmoniformes, Salmonidae.
CAGGGUCAGCGUCUAAUGCCAACUUCACUCUCCUCCAACUCCAGGGUAACAGCCAUUCCUCGUUCAACCCUUGACGCCCUCGUCGUCAUGAACUCAUCUUGACCAAUCAAAGCACAUCAACCAAUUUCCACAUUUCAUCUAUAAUAUCACGUUGCAUUUUUGUAGGUGCCCCUAAAAUAGUUGAUUGACGCGUCAUGGAUUAUCAAAAGACGACCUAAAUCCAUGACAUUUUCCAUCUUUCCCAUAAUAAACCUCAAAAACGACAUGUAAACAAGUUGAUCUGUAACAUGAGGUUUGGGGUUGGUAGUUAACAGACAGGAUGAACUGACAUGAGGUUUGGGGUUGGUAGUUAACAGACUGGAUGAACUGACAUGAGGUUUGGGGUUGGUAGUUAACAGACAGGAUGAACUGACAUGAGGUUUGGGGUUGGUAGUUAACAGACUGGAUGAACUGACAUGAGGUUUGGGGUUGGUAGUUAACAGACAGGAUGAACUGACAUGAGGUUUGGGGUUGGUAGUUAACAGACAGGAUGAACUGACAUGAGGUUUGGGGUUGGUAGUUAACAGACAGGAUGAACUGACAUGAGGUUUGGGGUUGGUAGUUAACAGACAGGAUGAACUGACAUGAGGUUUGGGGUUGGUAGUUAACAGACAGGAUGAACUGACAUGAGGUUUGGGGUUGGUAGUUAACAGACAGGAUGAACUGACAUGAGGUUUGGGGUUGGUAGUUAACAGACAGGAUGAACUGACAUGAGGUUUGGGGUUGGUAGUUAACAGACAGGAUGAACUGACAUGAGGUUUGGGGUUGGUAGUUAACAGACAGGAUGAACUGACAUGAGGUUUGGGGUUGGUAGUUAACAGACAGGAUGAACUGACAUGAGGUUUGGGGUUGGUAGUUAACAGACAGGAUGAACUGACAUGAGGUUUGGGGUUGGUAGUUAACAGACAGGAUGAACUGACAUGAGGUUUGGGGUUGGUAGUUAACAGACAGGAUGAACUGACAUGAGGUUUGGGGUUGGUAGUUAACAGACUGGAUGAACUGACAUGAGGUUUGGGGUUGGUAGUUAACAGACAGGAUGAACUGACAUGAGGUUUGGGGUUGGUAGUAAUAAAGUAAUAUAGUCGUUUUAAAGACACCACUGCCCCACAUCCCCACAGAAAAUAUAUGAAGCACAGACAGUAAACUCUUCAGAACACAAUUCAAUUAUCACCUUAUAGAUUCUAACCAUAAAUAACCCAUGUGAGGGCACUUUGUCAUACUGUAUAAUCACCACCACUAUCAAUACAACUCAGUGUUCAUCACCAAGAUCUACAUAAACAUCGUGGUUCAUUGACAGGAACACAUACGGACUGAGGCCACACCAUACAACACUGCAGAGGUAU